RNAcentral lists this ribosomal RNA (482 nucleotides) under Leiogalathea sinon. RNAcentral's name for it is "partial 16S large subunit ribosomal RNA". It matches the Rfam family "Bacterial large subunit ribosomal RNA", at positions 1831 to 2577 of the family's 2925-position model. Lineage: Eukaryota; Metazoa; Arthropoda; Malacostraca; Decapoda; Munidopsidae. The record is from RNAcentral.
GUCUGUGUGAAGUUAUACAGAGUCUAACCUGCCCAAUGAAUUUUAUUUAAAAGGCCGCAGUAAUUUGACUGUGCAAAGGUAGCAUAAUAAUUAGUUUUUUAAUUGAAGGCUUGUAUGAAUGGUUGGACAAAGAAAAAUCUGUCUUUUAUAUUAUUUUUGAAUUUUACAUUUAAGUGAAAAGGCUUAAAUAAAUUUAAGGGACGAUAAGACCCUAUAAAUCUUUACACUGUAUUUAAUUUUUUUAUAAUUUUGUAAAAUUUAAUAGUGUUAUGUUGGGGCAACAAGAAUAAAAAAAAAAACUGUUUUAUGAAUUAUACAUUUAUAUGUGAAUAAAACUAAAAGAUCCUUAAAAAAGAUUAAAAGUUUAAGUUACUUUAGGGAUAACAGCGUUAUUUUUUUUGAGAGUUCUUAUUGAAAAAAAAGUUUGCGACCUCGAUGUUGAAUUAAAAUUUCUCUAUGGUGCAGCAGUGUAAGAGAGAGUC